RNAcentral lists this ribosomal RNA (292 nucleotides) under uncultured bacterium. RNAcentral describes it as "partial 16S ribosomal RNA". It matches the Rfam family "Bacterial small subunit ribosomal RNA", at positions 505 to 796 of the family's 1533-position model. The record is from RNAcentral.
GUGUCAGCAGCCGCGGUAAUACGUAGGGUGCAAGCGUUGUCCGGAAUUAUUGGGCGUAAAGAGCUUGUAGGCGGUUUGUCGCGUCUGCUGUGAAAUUUCGGGGCUCAACCCCGAACUUGCAGUGGGUACGGGCAGACUAGAGUGUGGUAGGGGAGACUGGAAUUCCUGGUGUAGCGGUGAAAUGCGCAGAUAUCAGGAGGAACACCGAUGGCGAAGGCAGGUCUCUGGGCCAUAACUGACGCUGAGAAGCGAAAGCAUGGGGAGCGAACAGGAUUAGAUACCCUAGUAGUCC